RNAcentral lists this unclassified non-coding RNA (2598 nucleotides) under Amphibalanus amphitrite. RNAcentral's name for it is "prolyl 4-hydroxylase subunit alpha-1-like, transcript variant X1". The record is from RNAcentral. Lineage: Eukaryota; Metazoa; Arthropoda; Thecostraca; Balanomorpha; Balanidae.
AUCGCGGGCAGUGGCGGCAGGACGGUGAGAUCGGAACAGGGUGGGUCCGUCGCCGGCGACGAGAGGUACACGGCGAGUCACAGUGAGAAGUGAUUGAAGGCUGCUGCAAGCUGGUCUGACGGAUUAUUCGUGAAACGGAGCACGAUGGACGCGUGCCCGUCUUUCCUCCGCAGCCUGUCUGCGCUGCUCGUGAUCUCCUUCCUGUCGUCGCUGGUGCUACAGCCGCUGAUACCCUCCGUUCGCGCCGAGGCACUCUCAGAGCUCACAGCCAGUGCACUGGAACUCGACAGACUGUUCCAGGCCGAACAGAACAUAGUGAAGGAACUGGAGAAGUUUGUUCAACUGUCGGAGAGCAAGCUGGAGCUAGCCAAACGUUAUUUGGAAACGUACCGUGAGCACAACCCGAUGCUUCAGCCCAGCAACCCAGUGAGGGACUACAAGCUCAUGCAGCGCGUCGAAUCACUGUGGACAGAGGAGCUGUACACACCGGACCUUCUAGAAACUCUGACCUCAGUUCAGCGCCGCGUUGAAGAGUUCACCAACUCCGAGACAGGCACUCGGCCCGGCACAGAGGAGGCGCUGGAGACCCUCAGGGCAAUGGUGGAGGUGCAGUCCGUCUAUGAUCUGGAUGUGACCGAUCUGGCCGAAGGCAGACUCAUGGGACUCGAUACUGGCACAAAGAUGUCGGUGGACGACCUGCUGAAGCUGGCUGGCGUCAUGUGUGCCUCCAACGCCGUGGACAAGUGCCUCGUCUGGCUGGAGGGCGCUCUUCAGGUGGCCAUGGCCAGAAACCUGACUGACUGGGUGAACGACAUCAGACCCAGUUACACGGAUAUGAUAAAGAGGCACGACAAGAGACUGAGCCAGGGAGGUACUCCGGGCAUGCAACUGUUCCCCUACCCUGUGGGGGAUGGCUCCCCGAGGGCCAUGCAGAGAGAGCUGGAGGAACACAUCACAUUGGCAGACAAGGCAGCGGCCAUCAACAAACUCUGCCGCGGUACGGAGCUCAGGGAUGCGUCUCAACUCUCCAAGCUGUACUGCAAGUAUGAGAGACCUCAUCCCUACCUCUUCAUGCAACCCUUGAAGACAGAAGUGCAAAACAUCGACCCGUAUCUGUGCAUUUAUCACGACGUUCUCCGCAAGAGCGAAAUCGACCAACUAAUAGUCACCGCUAGACCACAUAUGGAGCGUUCGAUGGUGGGUAUCGGCCAUGACAGCUGGACGGGUCGCGUGUCCAGCAGCUCGCGGCUCGAGGACACCGAUCACCCGGUGGUGAUGACGCUCAACCGGCGCAUCGAGAUGGCCACAGGGCUGGACGUGACCAACCGAACUGGAUACGAACAGGAGAUGCUGCAGGUGUGCGAAUAUGGAACGGGUGGUCAAUUUUCGGCACAUCACGACUACCUCAACCUGGCAGACGAGGCUAUACUGCAGAGCUUUAUCGACAAUGAGGACGAUGCAUACAUCACGGGCGAGAGAAUUGCAACAAUCAUGUUUUACCUGAACCCCGUGCUACGCGGAGGUCGGACCGUGUUCCCCUACCUGGGCGUCUCAGUAGAGCCAGAGCAGGGCUCGGCCGUCUACUGGGACAACGUGCUCCCUGACGGCACCGCGGACGAACGCACGCUACACUCGGGCUGUCCAGUGGCAUACGGCUACAAGUGGAUUGCCAACAAGUUCAUCAGGGAGCUGUCUCAGACUUUCCGAAGACCGUGUCGCGAGGUCUAAACACAGCGAUAAGCCAUUCUCAUCUACACAAAACAGUGCCUUCACCCACGGGUUCGAGGAAAAUCCAGCAAUUCUAGCAUGAAACGUUUAUGAACUGUGAGAUGUUAAGUGUGUUAAUUGUGUUCAUGCGCUCUCUGCAGUCUGACGUUGCCGUCGCACAUUGGGAAACAAACACUGGCAUCUGCCCGUGCUAUUGUGAUAGCUGUGAAAAGGGCCGUGAUGUGAUCAGGAAAUGAAUGUGAAUACUCUGUGCGAUACUCAAUACUCAUUGGAACGCUUGAGGUAGUGAGUUAAGUUGUUUAUUUUUACUCUACAACUUAACAUGAACACACUCUGGUGUGUUCAUAGUCAAUUAUUGCUGAGGUUUCCACACCCAGCGUACCUUCUUGCUAGUUGCUACUUGCUACAGACCCAGCGUACCUUCUCGCUACAGAACAGCUGUUCCGCUGUGUGGAUGGAGGUAUAUUUCAGUAUUUUAUAGGGGGUCAUUUUCCUGGGCUUUGCAGGAUGCUGGGUCACUGAUCCCAGAAAAAGUUACCUAUUAUUAUGAGGCACGUGGUGUGAUGUAAUACUUCCAUCCUUUUGCAAUGCGUACCUUUUUUAUCAGAAGUUGAUGACUGGACUUUGAUAAAGCUGGACCUUGAGCGAAGAGUGGAAAUUACGUUUUUAAGAUGGAUUGAUGUUUUAUACGAAUAGGCAAGGGAUGUGUAGGUGUUCAGACCACUAGUACAAUGCAAAAGUUGUUCUGUUAUUGCUGUUGUGGUUUGAAACGAAGGGAAUGUGUGUAACUGUAAUUAGUGGUGUACGGGGAUUGUUUCUAUAAGCAUCUUCCUUGUUUGUUAAACCCAAUAAAUAGGUAUCGUCUUUUUA